GGACGGUGAAGAUUUAUAUUUGGUCUCGUUCGUCGUAACUGGCAUUUGUUUGGCUUGCCGACUACCCAAAUUUGAGUCC
Non-coding RNA from Triticum aestivum (bread wheat), 79 nucleotides. The record is from Rfam. NCBI's taxonomy places the organism in Eukaryota, Viridiplantae, Streptophyta, Magnoliopsida, Poales, Poaceae.